UCUCAUUGCUAGAUUAGCUCGUGCAAUUCUCUACAAAUAUAGUGAUUUGUGGGUUUUAGUUUGGGAGUAAUUAUGUAGGAGUUUAUUUCAUUUAUAUGCAAUUUGAGCUCAUAUUAACUUCUUAGUUUGCAUAUGUGUUGGUGUGGUUUACUUAGUGCCUUCCCGUCCCCGUCCUAACCACCGUCGAUCGCUGGCACCAUCUUGACGAGCCUCUUGUUCUUAUCAUUUUUAUAAAAAAAUCUUAUUUUUAUGAUUUGGAUAGUUACUUGUAUAAUUUUCUUACUUGUAUGAUUGUUUGUUAUACACAGUGCCAUGGUUUUGAUAUCUAUGCCCGUCGGCCCUCGGUCCGUUUAUAUGUGGUAUAUUCUUUUUUAUAACUAUUUAUUGCAUUUCAUAUUUAUGACAAUUAUGCCCAUCAAGUUGACAUAGAUAUUUUUAUUUAGAAGGUAUGUGAACCGGAAAUUACAAC
Molecule: long non-coding RNA, 469 nt
Filed under: Hordeum vulgare
Lineage: Eukaryota; Viridiplantae; Streptophyta; Magnoliopsida; Poales; Poaceae
Description: long non-coding RNA (HVUL_LNC014713)
Source: RNAcentral